This is a long non-coding RNA of Morus notabilis, 458 nucleotides long. RefSeq lists it as uncharacterized. The record is from RefSeq and is a predicted model, not a curated record. Lineage: Eukaryota; Viridiplantae; Streptophyta; Magnoliopsida; Rosales; Moraceae. The transcript is spliced from 3 exons.
GUGAUUUGGGCAUCUGGGUCAUUGGAUUUCAGUUGAGUUUGGCUUUGGAUUUUGUGCUAGAUGCACAUAUUUGUUUAUCGCUUUGAAGAGUUUUUGAUGCUUUGUUGCUAAGAAAGAAGCAGCCUGAUGACAGAAGAAAGGAUGCAAUUGUGAAAGAUAGUACAAUUCUUGCACGCGUGCUUGAUAACACUUCAUCUCAUGACGCCGUUAAGUUUAUCAUGUAUAAUGACACACUUGGCCACACUACAAUGGAGCAAAGGGAAGCAGAUGAAAGUUUAGCAGCUGUUGCUACAACAAUUACACUGGAAGAGGUCACUUCCAAACGCGCUAAAUAAUUUGCAGCUAACUAAGUUUGUAUUAACUGAUUCUUUAGAGACCAUUGAGAGAAAAUACGGGUGUGUGUUAGACGUGAGAGAAAAAAAGAGAAAGAAAUAGAGUUUAUUUUAGUUAUUACUGAU